This 177-nucleotide ribosomal RNA is filed under the name Lactobacillus sp. L1. Its description in RNAcentral is "partial 16S ribosomal RNA". It matches the Rfam family "Bacterial small subunit ribosomal RNA", at positions 356 to 526 of the family's 1533-position model. The record is from RNAcentral. Lineage: Bacteria; Bacillati; Bacillota; Bacilli; Lactobacillales; Lactobacillaceae.
AGGGAAUCUUCCCAAUGGACGAAAGUCUGAUGGAGCAAUGCCGCGUGAGUGAAGAAGGGUUUCGGCUCGUAAAACUCUGUUGUUAAAGAAGAACACCUUUGAGAGUAACUGUUCAAGGGUUGACGGUAUUUAACCAGAAAGCCACGGCUAACUACGUGCCAGCAGCCGCGGUAAUAC